Molecule: ribosomal RNA, 468 nt
Filed under: uncultured bacterium
Lineage: Bacteria
Description: partial 16S ribosomal RNA
Rfam family: Bacterial small subunit ribosomal RNA
Source: RNAcentral
GACGAACGCUGGCGGCGUGCUUAACACAUGCAAGUCGAACGGAAAGGCCCUGCUUUUGUGGGGUGCUCGAGUGGCGAACGGGUGAGUAACACGUGAGUAACCUGCCCUUGACUUUGGGAUAACUUCAGGAAACUGGGGCUAAUACCGGAUAGGAGCUCCUGCUGCAUGGUGGGGGUUGGAAAGUUUCGGCGGUUGGGGAUGGACUCGCGGCUUAUCAGCUUGUUGGUGGGGUAGUGGCUUACCAAGGCUUUGACGGGUAGCCGGCCUGAGAGGGUGACCGGCCACCAUGGGACUGAGAGACGGCCCAGACUCCUACGGGAGGCAGCAGUGGGGAAUAUUGCACAAUGGGCGGAAGCCUGAUGCAGCAACGCCGCGUGCGGGAUGACGGCCUUCGGGUUGUAAACCGCUUUCGCCUGUGACGAAGCGUGAGUGACGGUAAUGGGUAAAGAAGCACCGGCUAACUACGUG